UGGCACCUACGGGGGCCUUCACUUCAGGGGCUGCGCGCCAGCCCCGCCAAGCAAACGGAAGACAGAAA
Molecule: non-coding RNA, 68 nt
Organism: Loktanella atrilutea
Lineage: Bacteria; Pseudomonadati; Pseudomonadota; Alphaproteobacteria; Rhodobacterales; Roseobacteraceae
Source: Rfam